AAUCUUGGACAAUGGGGGCAACCCUGAUCCAGCCAUGCCGCGUGAGUGAUGAAGGCCUUAGGGUCGUAAAGCUCUUUUGCCUGUGAUGAUAAUGACAGUAGCAGGUAAAGAAACCCCGGCUAACUCCGUGCCAGCAGCCGCGGUAAUACGGAGGGGGUUAGCGUUGUUCGGAAUUACUGGGCGUAAAGCGCGCGUAGGCGGAUUAGUCAGUUAGAGGUGAAAUCCCAGGGCUCAACCCUGGAACUGCCUUUAAUACUGCUAGUCUUGAGUUCGAGAGAGGUGAGUGGAAUUCCGAGUGUAGAGGUGAAAUUCGUAGAUAUUCGGAGGAACGCCAGUGGCGAAGGCGGCUCACUGGCUCGAUACUGACGCUGAGGUGCGAAAGUGUGGGGAGCAAACAGGAUUAGAUACCCUGGUAG
Molecule: ribosomal RNA, 416 nt
Filed under: uncultured bacterium
Lineage: Bacteria
Description: bacterial SSU rRNA
Rfam family: Bacterial small subunit ribosomal RNA
Source: RNAcentral